AUUGAACGCUGGCGGCAGGCCUAACACAUGCAAGUCGAGCGGAUGAAGGGAGCUUGCUCCUGGAUUCAGCGGCGGACGGGUGAGUAAUGCCUAGGAAUCUGCCUGGUAGUGGGGGAUAACGUCCGGAAACGGGCGCUAAUACCGCAUACGUCCUGAGGGAGAAAGUGGGGGAUCUUCGGACCUCACGCUAUCAGAUGAGCCUAGGUGGGAUUAGCUAGUUGGUGGGGUAAAGGCCUACCAAGGCGACGAUCCGUAACUGGUCUGAGAGGAUGAUCAGUCACACUGGAACUGAGACACGGUCCAGACUCCUACGGGAGGCAGCAGUGGGGAAUAUUGGACAAUGGGCGAAAGCCUGAUCCAGCCAUGCCGCGUGUGUGAAGAAGGUCUUCGGAUUGUAAAGCACUUUAAGUUGGGAGGAAGGGCGGUAAGUUAAUACCUUGCUGUUUUGACGUUACCAACAGAAUAAGCACCGGCUAACUUCGUG
RNAcentral lists this ribosomal RNA (484 nucleotides) under uncultured bacterium. RNAcentral describes it as "partial 16S ribosomal RNA". It matches the Rfam family "Bacterial small subunit ribosomal RNA", at positions 30 to 507 of the family's 1533-position model. The record is from RNAcentral.